RNAcentral lists this ribosomal RNA (567 nucleotides) under uncultured archaeon. RNAcentral's name for it is "bacterial SSU rRNA". It matches the Rfam family "Archaeal small subunit ribosomal RNA", at positions 326 to 897 of the family's 1478-position model. The record is from RNAcentral.
CGGGGUGCAGCAGGCGCGAAAACUUUACAAUGCCGGCAACGGCGAUAAGGGAACCUCGAGUGCCAGGUUACAAAUCUGGCUGUCGUGAUGCCUAAAAAGCAUUGCAUAGCAAGGGCCGGGCAAGACCGGUGCCAGCCGCCGCGGUAACACCGGCGGCUCGAGUGGUAACCGUUAUUAUUGGGUCUAAAGGGUCUGUAGCCGGCCGGGUAAGUCUCUUGGGAAAUCUGGCAGCUUAACUGUCAGGCUUUCAGGAGAUACUGCCUGGCUCGAGGCCGGGAGAGGUGAGAGGUACUUCAGGGGUAGGGGUGAAAUCUUGUAAUCCUUGAAGGACCACCAGUGGCGAAGGCGUCUCACCAGAACGGACCUGACGGCAAGGGACGAAAGCUAGGGGCACGAACCGGAUUAGAUACCCGGGUAGUCCUAGCCGUAAACGAUACUCGCUAGGUGUCGGCCACGGUGCGACCGUGGUCGGUGCCGUAGGGAAGCCGUGAAGCGAGCCACCUGGGAAGUACGGCCGCAAGGCUGAAACUUAAAGGAAUUGGCGGGGGAGCACAAGGGCGAUUCGCG